Lycium barbarum (goji berry) is the source of this 1300-nucleotide long non-coding RNA. RefSeq lists it as uncharacterized. The transcript is spliced from 3 exons. Lineage: Eukaryota; Viridiplantae; Streptophyta; Magnoliopsida; Solanales; Solanaceae. The record is from RefSeq and is a predicted model, not a curated record.
UGUGUGGAUUGAAGUGGUCCCCACACAUUGUUGUGGCCAAUUUUAAUUGGUCCAACACAUGUGUGGGCCCAAAGACAAUAAGAGAUAUUUUAAGGGGACUUAAAAGAUGACCACUUAGUCAUCUUUCUCUCAUUUCACAUUCCCACACUUAGAAAAUAAAGCAAGAAGUUGAGGAACCAAAACCAUGGCUCACGGCCAAGACCAUGGAAAACCAAAUCCAAAUCAAGCCCCUCUAAAAAUAUUUCUUGGGUACAAAUCAACUAAUUAGAGGUCCCUAAGUAACUUGGAAGCAUUGUUGGAGUGAUCAAGUCUUUCAUUUAAGAGAUUUGCAAACCCUAGCCUAUUGGUGGAUUGAAGAAGAAAGACCUUGGGGAGCCCGAGGCGUGGAUUGGAAAUUUACUUUAGAUUGGCUAUUUUGGAAGUGCGUACGAGGUACAGACGCACAGCCUGGUGAUCCACCUGUUUAGGACACCCUUUCUGCUAUUCGGAGUGCUCCUCUCUUUCCGGAGCUUAUACUUUUGGUAUAUAUAUUUAUUAGUGCAUUUGUAUAUAUUCGUUCAUGGGUACGGCGGGGCCCUGUCCCGUCAUAUGAUUCUGUCGGUCUGUUUAGAGGUCUGUGGACAUGUUUGUGGGUUAGGGUCUUUCUGUAUGGAUGUAUGUACAUGUCGUUUGGGCGAUCCCAUACGCCGAGGCGGCCGGUCCGCAUAUGUUGUUUGGGCGAUCCUAUACGCCGAGGCGGCCGGUCCGCAUAUGUUUAUAUAUUGCUUGGUUAGCCCUGUGUGGCUUUUGUUGGUAUUUUCUGCGUGCAGGGUAUAUUGGAUAGUCCGUAAAACAAAGGAAACUCUGCCGAAAUUUUUCUGGAAAUUACCUAAAUUUGAAAUAAAGCCUUGUCGGCUUCCGCCAUAUACUAGAAUGAGUUGAUAGAAUUUGAGAUAAUAUUUGAUAGAUGGGUUCGGGUGCCCAGAUCGGGCACUAGUCACGGCCUACGGGGUUGGGUCGUGACAAUGGACCUAUCCACGAUCCCUUAGGUUUACGCAGUUUUUUUUUUUUUUCAGUUUGGAAUUUAGGGUUUGACAUUUUUUUAUUUUUUAUUUUUAAAUUAUUUUUACUAGCUUUAUACUUGUGUCCAUUCACCAGGCUUCUCAUUCCAAAAUAGUCCCUUUUAUUUAUGGUCUAUAAUCGAUCAUCAACAUCAAGGUCUAUAAUAGAUCAUAGCUUGUGGUUAUUAUAGAUAUGGUAUUUGUUUGGUUAUUAAUCGACUCAACAAACAACAUUAAAUCAACAGAAAACAGAAAGUAUC